RNAcentral lists this ribosomal RNA (235 nucleotides) under uncultured bacterium. Its description in RNAcentral is "partial 16S ribosomal RNA". It matches the Rfam family "Bacterial small subunit ribosomal RNA", at positions 96 to 334 of the family's 1533-position model. The record is from RNAcentral.
UGGCGGACGGGUGAGUAAUGUCUGGGAAACUGCCUGAUGGAGGGGGGUAACUACUGGAAACGGUAGCUAAUACCGCAUAACGUCGCAAGACCAAAGAGGGGGACCUUCGGGCCUCUUGCCAUCGGAUGUGCCCAGAUGGGAUUAGCUAGUAGGUGGGGUAACGGCUCACCUAGGCGACGAUCCCUAGCUGGUCUGAGAGGAUGACCAGCCACAUUGGAACUGAGACACGGUCCAG